This 73-nucleotide transfer RNA is filed under the name Nakamurella endophytica. RNAcentral's name for it is "tRNA-Gly". The record is from RNAcentral. Lineage: Bacteria; Bacillati; Actinomycetota; Actinomycetes; Nakamurellales; Nakamurellaceae.
GCUGCAGUGGCUGGGGCAGGUGGCGCCCGGCUUCCGUCCGGGCGGCGCCGGGACGAUGCCGGUCACCGGCUCC